This 2017-nucleotide long non-coding RNA is filed under the name Olea europaea subsp. europaea. The record is from RNAcentral. Lineage: Eukaryota; Viridiplantae; Streptophyta; Magnoliopsida; Lamiales; Oleaceae.
GUUUAUAGCUUCACGCACGUAAUUCCCUUUCUGACUUAAGUAUCGGAUGGAUGACGAGAACAUACCUCGUUGCCUUUGUUCCAGGUACCGGAAGAUCACGAUCGUGCUCAUUCAAAAUCCUCAAGUUCAAGAAAUCAACAGGUACAAUUUUUGGUAGCAUCACCACCCCAUUCACGCCCUUUAUCAAAUCACUUGUUUUGUCCCAUUUGAUUUGAUUGGUUUUUAGUUUUUACUUAGAAAAUACAAAAUAUCUAGGAUUUGGGUUGAUGACAAACACGUGAAUUGGUCCUCCGCCACAAAUUUCAUUUGAUAUACUUAAUUAAUUAUAUAUUCUGUUUUCAACUUAUUUGUUAAUAAUAUUUUGGAUUUGAACCAACGCUAAUCUACAUAUGUAUAGUUCAUGAGGUCACCCUUUCUAUGCUUGAGCAUCAAAUAAUAAAUUGUCAUAUGUAUGUCGCUUAGAACGACUAACAAUGUUAUUUACUACAAAUAACAUUACUAAAUUCAUAAUGAUUGAUAAGAUAAUUUGUAUGAAAUCGUGGCAGCUUAUAUUUACGUAAAAUUGUUUUUAAACGGCAAUGCUUUUCAAAAAUCAUUUGUUCAACACGAUUUCGAUAAGAUUUUUAUUUUUAUUUUUUUCCCUAUACACUUUUUGUUCAUUGGACUGUUGAAAAGUAUGCUAAACUGAUAAUACUGUAAGCCCAAUGUUUGGCUAUCAUUCAUUAACCAUUCACAACAGUAAGAACCCUUCCCAAUAACAAAACAAUUUCGAAAGAUACAAAAUUGAAAUUAAAAAUACUAAGGCCUUGUUGCCCACAUUCUUUUAAAAAAAUUAUUUUUAAACAGUAAUUUGAGAUCAUUUCAAUAACACAUUUUUCGAUAAAAUAAUAUUACACGCAAGUUCAAAAUUCUUCUUUAUUUUUCAACAACAUAUUUUUCAUCAAUGUAUUAUUCAAAAUUAUAUUCUUAUUAAAAUAACAACGGCUGAACUCUAAUUGCAUUAAAUUGGCAUAGUUGGCACUAGGCAUUAAAAAUUGCCAGAUAUCCAACGCGUUUUCUCAAUUAUGUUGUCCACCAAACUUUUAAAUGACGCAGGCCGCCCAUUUGAGGGGCUGUGAGCUAUGCACGGCUCCUUUUAAAAUACGAAGCUAAAAAUUACGGCGCACAGCACGGCUCCUUUUAAAUACGAAGCUAAAAAUUCCGUACCGGCCCCGCUUGGUCCGGAACUUCGACCUAAUCGCGCGUAAUCUUAAGGACUUUUUUUGGGUGUCAGAGGCCACAGAUAAUGUUUCAACUGAAAUUUACAUCUCCUACUAACUCACUUGUUUUCCUUGGGUGGUGUUGACACAUAAAAAUUCAGUCCAAAUCGAACAGUUCAAAGAGUAAAGCCCAAUUGGAGAAUCCCCAAAUCAAAUAACCCAAAGAACGAAAUCCAAUUGAACGAAUCAAGGUGAACGCCCGAAUAAGGGGCCCAAUAGUGCGGUAACGCCAUCGCCCAAGUUUGCAAGUCGCUCAAAAUCUGAACGAAUAGAGUGGCAUACGAUCGCCCAGAGUCUCGCCCAAAUCUUCAAGUCGCCCAAGGUAUCAACAAACAUAACGCAUUAUGAUUAUAAAAAAAUGCAGUUAUUGAGGCAGUUGCUAAAGUAACCUUAUCACGUUCCACGACUCAAGGGGUUCAAUCGAAAGCGGUUGAACGAUGCAAGAUAAUGACAGCAUUUAAAAAGACAGUUUCAUGACAAAAUGGCCACUACAAAGAAAGUGAGUAGUUAUAGGGCGAUCAAGCAGUUUUUUAGAGCAGUUAAUCACAAAGGGAUCGCCUAUGAAGUAUAAAAGGGAGAAAGAACUUAGGAGCAAAGGACCGAAUCCAAAACUCUCGAACAGAGAAUAUGUAAUUUUCAUUCCUUUAGCUUUUAGACUUAAACACUUCCUUUUCUGUAACUCGUGUGCUUGCGCCCCUUGGAGGCACGUUGUUUUCCGUUUCCAAUUGUAAAGUUCAUCGUCAAUAAAAAGAACACCC